RNAcentral lists this ribosomal RNA (370 nucleotides) under uncultured organism. Its description in RNAcentral is "bacterial SSU rRNA". It matches the Rfam family "Bacterial small subunit ribosomal RNA", at positions 526 to 896 of the family's 1533-position model. The record is from RNAcentral.
CGUAGGGUGCAGGCGUUAAUCGGAAUUACUGGGCGUAAAGCGUGCGCAGGCGGUCUGUUAAGACAGGUGUGAAAUCCCCGGGCUUAACCUGGGAACUGCGCUUGUAACUGGCAGGCUGGAGUGUGGCAGAGGGGGGUGGAAUUCCACGUGUAGCAGUGAAAUGCGUAGAGAUGUGGAGGAACACCGAUGGCGAAGGCAGCCCCCUGGGCUAACACUGACGCUCAUGCACGAAAGCGUGGGGAGCAAACAGGAUUAGAUACCCUGGUAGUCCACGCCCUAAACUAAGUCAACUGGUUGUCGGGGAAGCAAUUCCUUGGUAACGAAGCUAACGCGUGAAGUUGACCGCCUGGGGAGUACGGCCGCAAGGUUA